GGAGAUUAAGUGUGUUGUGAAAUGUAGACGCUCAACGUCUGACUUGCAGCGCAUACUGGUUUCCUUGAGUACGCACAACGUUGGCGGAAUUCGUCGUGUAGCGGUGAAAUGCUUAGAUAUGACGAAGAACUCCGAUUGCGAAGGCAGCUGACGGGAGCGCAACUGACGCUGAAGCUCGAAGGUGCGGGUAUCGAACAGGAUUAGAUACCCUGGUAGUCCGCACAGUAAACGAUGGAUGCCCGCUGUUGGUACCUGGUAUCAGCGGCUAAGCGAAAGCAUUAAGCAUCCCACCUGGGGAGUACGCCGGCAACGGUGAAACUCAAAGGAAUUGACGGGGGCCCGCACAAGCGGAGGAACAUGUGGUUUAAUUCGAUGAUACGCGAGGAACCUUACCCGGGCUUGAAUUGCAGAGGAAGGAUUUAGAGAUAAUGACGCCCUUCGGGGUCUCUGUGAAGGUGCUGCAUGGUUGUCGUCAGCUUGUGCCGUGAGGUGUCGGCUUAAGUGCCAUAACGAGCGCAACCCCUGUCUUUAGUUGCCAUCAGGUUAAGCUGGGCACUCUGGAGAUACUGCCACCGUAAGGUGUGAGGAAGGUGGGGAUGACGUCAAAUCAGCACGGCCCUUACGUCCGGGGCUACACACGUGUUACAAUGGCCGGUACAGAGGGACGGUGUAAUGUAAAUUGCAUCUAAUCUUGAAAGCCGGUCCCAGUUCGGACUGGGGUCUGCAACCCGACCCCACGAAGCUGGAUUCGCUAGUAAUCGCGCAUCAGC
RNAcentral lists this ribosomal RNA (770 nucleotides) under uncultured bacterium. RNAcentral describes it as "bacterial SSU rRNA". It matches the Rfam family "Bacterial small subunit ribosomal RNA", at positions 578 to 1353 of the family's 1533-position model. The record is from RNAcentral.